UAUGAUCAAGGUAAGCAUCAAUAUAACCUAUCACCACGCUACUGCAAUACUUCAUGACAAUUUCUUUAGCAUCAGGAAAUGUACUUCAACCUAAGGAGUAAGGCUAUUGCUGUGAUUUCCAUUUUUGCGGUUUUUUAUCAUGAAAACUUCAGUGUGCUUCUUAGUAUAGAGCACCUAAUAGAUCCUUAAGCCAAUGCUGACCUUUGUCCAUGAAGGAAGAGGGACAUCCAGCAACGUUCUGCUCCAUCCAUAUCUUCCCGACGUACGCUCAUCUAGCUUCACUGCUUUUGCUGCUACAACUUGUCUUACUUCACCGACGAGUUGGAACACUUCAGUGGUCGCUACCCUUUGCUGUUACACUCCUGCAGUUACUCACCACGGGAUUAUGCCCAGGUAAUGCACGUCGAGAAGAUGGACACCAUAACGUCGCCGGUAUCUCCAAAAUGUCAGCGCGGAUCAUCAUUUGUUGUUGGUAAUAUUGUUGUGUUGGUUAACCCGCUGUCUGCCACGCCUUUGUAUUCCCCUGCACGGGCCGCGCUGUUCGGUCUCGUGGUUUACAAGCCGCGGGGUCGGAGAGUCGCCAAGCCCA
Daphnia pulicaria is the source of this 589-nucleotide long non-coding RNA. RefSeq lists it as uncharacterized. NCBI's taxonomy places the organism in Eukaryota, Metazoa, Arthropoda, Branchiopoda, Diplostraca, Daphniidae. The transcript has 3 exons. The record is from RefSeq and is a predicted model, not a curated record.